Molecule: ribosomal RNA, 380 nt
Filed under: uncultured microorganism
Description: bacterial SSU rRNA
Rfam family: Archaeal small subunit ribosomal RNA
Source: RNAcentral
GCGCAGCAGUCGAGAAACCUCCGCAAUACACGAAAGUGUGACGGGGCCAUCCCGAGUGCCGUCCGCUGAGGACGGCUUUUCCUCAGUGUACACAGCUGGGGGAAUAAGGAGAGGGCAAGCCUGGUGUCAGCCGCCGCGGUAAUACCAGCUCUCCGAGUGGUGGGGACGCUUAUUGGGCCUAAAGCAUCCGUAGCCGGCUGGGCAAGUCCUCCGUUAAAUCCAACGAUUCAAUCGUUGGGCUGCGGGGGAUACUGUCCAGCUUGGGGGCGGGAGAGGCCGACGGUAUUCCCGGGGUAGGGGUGAAAUCCUAUAAUCCCGGGAGGACUACCAGUGGCGAAGGCUGUCGGCUAGAACGCGCCCGACGGUGAGGGAUGAAAGCU